UACGAAGGGGGCUAGCGUUACUCGGAUUGACUGGGCGUAAAGGGCGCGUAGGCGGUUUGUACAGUCAGACGUGAAAUUCCUGGGCUCAACCUGGGGGCUGCGUUUGAUACGUGCAGACUUGAGUUCGGAAGAGGGUCGUGGAAUUCCCAGUGUAGAGGUGAAAUACGUAGAGAUUGGGAAGAACACCAGUGGCGAAGGCGGCUAUCUGGACGGUUUCUGACGCUAAGACGCGAAAGCGUGGGGAGCAAACAGG
This 253-nucleotide ribosomal RNA is filed under the name uncultured bacterium. Its description in RNAcentral is "partial 16S ribosomal RNA". It matches the Rfam family "Bacterial small subunit ribosomal RNA", at positions 524 to 776 of the family's 1533-position model. The record is from RNAcentral.